ACUUCAGAGAAAAGAUCUGAGAGAAAAGCCUGGGACUCUGCCACCCAGCUCCCUGGCCCCUGGGAGAAGCCAUGGCAGAUAUUUGGGAUGAGGCAGCAUGCUGGUCCCUCAGCAGCAUCCUUAUCACGUCAGCUGUGAGAGAAAUAAAACUGUGAGACUGUGAAGUGUAUAAAGGAUUCUACCGCUCUCCCGGGGCUUGGAGACCCACAGAUUGGAGAAAGGGCCAUCCAUGGAGGGCUGGAUGGUGUCCUCACUCUCCCAUCACACAGCUCUUCUGAUGAUGUUUUUGCUUGUCUUUCUGGAAGUUCGCUCUGAUCCAAAAUUACAUCUGCAAGGGGCAGCUGAAGUCCAUCAGUUCUGUGAAGUCUUCUGGGAGUUGCCUCAGCCUAGAGAUCUCUUCCUCCAUUUCUCCAAAUAUUUCAGUUAGCUCUAAAUGAACAAUUAGCAUCUCCUAAUUGUGCAACUAUUUAAUUUUGGUUUCCUCAACCAAGGAGUUAAUCCCUUUCUGAGGGCAGGUACUGUCAACUUCUUUUGAUUUUUCUACACUGCAUGUGGCCAUCCCAGAUAACUCACUAACAAUAAAUUCUUGAUGACAUGACUCUACAUGGUAAGACGGCACUACUCACUUGCCAAGAGCCAAACAGAUAUUUUGGAAUCAUUUCCCAGAUAGUGAUAAAAAAUGGGCACAGACCAUUUGUAAUCUUUCAUCCCAUCUUCCUUUUGACUAGUGUCAUCCCUGUAAACCAUGAGUGAUCAGGAUUACAUCUCUACAUUCAGCAGGAGUAGAAUAGAAUUUCCAUUUGCACACAAAACUGACUCACUGAGAGCAAUUUAGUGAUCUCAGUAGAUGGGCCUGCUGCAUGGAAAGGCAGCCAACAGAUGGGGAGUGUCCCUAUCUUAGCCAGAGGAGGGGAAAGUAUGGGAUUCAAUCUGUUUCUUUAAAAGCUGAAGGAUAAACUGAAGAUGAUGUUCAUAAAAACUGUAUUUCCAUUGUUAAGGAGAAAAAUAGAUAGGUAAGCUCAGCCCUCUUUUGAUAAAAGUUGAACAGAGAGGUGAAAAAGGGAAUCCAUUUGUUUAUGCACUUAUCCUAAAGAGAACAUUGAAAGUCAAGGGGGUAUGUCCAGUGGUUUGCAAAGUGGUGUCUCCAGGGGACAUUUACAGUCAAUGUCAUCUACAGAAAGUUGCUGUCUUUGCUAUAGUGAAGGGCAAAUCAUCUCCCAAUUGCGCUGCUUUUCAAGAUUCCAUGAGGAGCUCUACUCUUGAAAAUUUCUGAAUCAAAAUAGAAUCUUAAGGAGUCUAAUUCUAAAUACAAACUUCAUGUGUAAGAUUCUCGCCAUGGCUGUAUGGCAGGUUUUUAAAGAAAGUAUGAGAAUGGUGUAUUUUAUCCAAGUGCUUGUUGCUGUUUUGCUCACUGGUGUCCUAAGCACCUAGAAAAGUCCUUGGCAGUUUUUAGGUGCACAAUAAGUAUUUAAUUUUAUUAUUCCUAAAUUAUUGGUUCGAUGAUUGGGUGUAUACAAGUGCAUAUGUGGAUAUGUGCAUUUGAAUGGAGAGAAAGAAAAAGUACAUGCUUACUCUC
Homo sapiens (human) is the source of this 1576-nucleotide long non-coding RNA. The record is from Ensembl. NCBI's taxonomy places the organism in Eukaryota, Metazoa, Chordata, Mammalia, Primates, Hominidae.